Molecule: long non-coding RNA, 1234 nt
Organism: Oncorhynchus tshawytscha (Chinook salmon)
Lineage: Eukaryota; Metazoa; Chordata; Actinopteri; Salmoniformes; Salmonidae
Source: Ensembl
GGGGAGUUGUGUGUUUCAGCUGUAGGGAAGUCUGUUGUCUUUGUCUUGCCAAACACGGAAGCAACAAUGUAGCGUUGUUGACUGACUCAACAGUCAAACACCCAGGUUACAAUAAGGAACUGGAGAUUUUACUGUAUAUCAGGAGAAUUGAACUCUGACCCUACGAGGUCCAGAGCCUGCUGCUUUUCUGUUCUCCCUGGUAAUGAAUUGCAGCCACCCCAGGUAUAAGUCAGUCCCUGGUUAGUGGGGAACAAUGAAAAAAAGCAGGGGGACUGGCUUUGAGGGUCCGGAUUUGAAUUUGAGGGCUGUAGGUCAUUCAUUGUGCCAUAGUGGUUAUGUCUCUCUCUUCCCCAUCCUGAGACUAGAGCAGGGCUGUCAGCAUCAGUUCCCUGGAAGGCUGUAGGUCAUUCAUUGUGCCAUAGUGGUUAUGUCUCUCUCUUCCCCAUCCUGAGACUAGAGCAGGGCUGUCAGCAUCAGUUCCCUGGAAGGCUGUAGGUCAUUCAUUAUGCCAUAGUGGUUAUGUCUCUCUCUUCCCCAUCCUGAGACUAGAGCAGGGCUGUCAGCAUCAGUUCCCUGGAAGGCUGUAGGUCAUUCAUUGUGCCAUAGUGGUUAUGUCUCUCUCUUCCCCAUCCUGAGACUAGAGCAGGGCUGUCAGCAUCAGUUCCCUGGAAGGCUGUAGGUCUUCUGGUUUUUCUCAUGUUCCCUUUCAUUUGUGUCCAUUUAAGAUCUAGACAACCAGCUAAAGGGAAUUUCCUUACUGGUGACCUUAAUUAAUCAUUCAAGUAGAAGGGAGAACUGAAAACCCGCAGCCACUCGGCCCUCCAGGAAUUGAGUUUGUCACCCCCUGGACUACCCCAGGUAUCAGGCUAGAAAUAAGACUAGCUUAGGCAGUAUGUCUCAAUCCUGGUCCUAGCACUCUAGAACCAGGAUGGAGAACCACUGAGCUAAGGGAUUGGGGACAGCCAUCACCGAGGGAGGAAUAGAAUCUGUGAUGGGAUGCUUUGAAAAACAAUGUCAAUCUUUUUGGAAUGGCUCUGAGAGAUAAAUGUUAUCCAACACUGUAUGUACUGUACAUGAUUUAAACAUGGUGUUUUUUUUUAUUUCUUAACUUAUUUCAGAUGGAGGAUGUGUCAUUCUCUGGUUCCUAAGUGUAAUUAUUGUUGCUGAUGAUAAUUAUUGUUGUUGUAUAUUGUUAUUGUUAAUGAAUGCUAUUUUUAAUAUAAACAUAAAGGCC